AAAACGGGUAUCCAAGAUGCUUUGGGGUGUCUCAGGGGGAUAUCCCAGACCUGGCAGAAGCCACACAGGACCCACAGGAGACCUUGGCUCUUCUGCAGGGCAACUUGGAGAGGUGAAAUGAAACAUGGAGCUGGUGAAAAGCCUACACUGAGUAAUUCAGCUUAGAAACAGAGUUGUUGUUUCUAAUUCAGCUUAGAAACAGAGUUGUUGUUUCCUGCAGCGACGUUAACAGAAUGAAGUGGUGUCACCAAGUUAAAGAAGGAGAUCUUUGGAGCUGGCAGCCUUCAAAGUCAGCUCUGGGCAGCCUGACCUGUGCUGAUUUCAGUGCACUCAGGCUUUCUUGCUUUCUCCAGCCACCAACGAGCUCAGGGAUCAGAGCUGACCCAAAAGCUUUGGCAGAUGGGUGCCUGAGGAACAAUCUCCCCUCAGCUGUUCCCACCUGGGUUUUCAGAGCUGCUCACUUGGAGUUUGGCUGUCUCUGGAGCACGGGGACAGAGAAUUAGGACUUAUCUGGUCACACACAGCAUUAUGAGUUAGCUCCUUGCCAUCACAGGAGCCUCAGUUACUGAGGUUAUGUCCAUUCCUAUUUCCCAGAGGUUUGGUUGCCUGUGGAGAUGAAUGCUUGAGUUUUCAAAGUCACCUGGGAGAAUCUAAGAAAGAAGAAGUGACUUGCAAUUCCCAGCAAGACAAAUUAAAUUAUCUAAUCACCCCUUCUGGCCUCAAACCCCAUGAAACCAUAUGAAAAUAAUAGAAAAAGAACUUCCCUGUGUGACUGCUAACAAAAAGAAAUGUUUCUGGUUCAGCUGCAGAUAAUGAUUUUGACAUUGUCUCUGAACUCUUGGCUUUGCAGAUGUCAGAAGCUUAACAGCUUGAGGAAGUUCUGAUCUCUGAUUCCAGCUUUUAUCUGUGGAGGUGGGAGACAAGGAAGCACUAAGGGCAAAGCUGCCAGAAAAGGGCAGCUUGAGUCAGCAGCUUGCAGCCCUUCCACUGUGGUUGUAAUUGAUUUCAAGUCACAGCUUUCCAGGGGGAAAGCACCACCAAGCUGCCUCCACACCCUGGACUCUGCAGGAACUUGGGAGAAAUGUUGUCUCCAGGUUUUCUGGGACUGGGCUCUUCAGUGGAGGAAAGAACAGUAUAAGAAACCACUUGGUUUAAUAACAACUGUGAAAAAAAUGGCAUUCUGAAUUGCAGUGGAUAUUACAAAUCUGAUAUCUCAACAGAACAUGUAAAAAAUAAAUGAAAUUGUAACAUAA
Long non-coding RNA from Passer domesticus (house sparrow), 1253 nucleotides. RefSeq lists it as uncharacterized. The record is from RefSeq and is a predicted model, not a curated record. The transcript is spliced from 2 exons. NCBI's taxonomy places the organism in Eukaryota, Metazoa, Chordata, Aves, Passeriformes, Passeridae.